ACUGAACGCUGGCGGAAUGCUUUACACAUGCAAGUCGAACGGCAGCACGGACUUCGGUCUGGUGGCGAGUGGCGAACGGGUGAGUAAUACAUCGGAACGUGCCCAGUCGUGGGGGAUAACGUAGCGAAAGCUACGCUAAUACCGCAUACGAUCUACGGAUGAAAGCGGGGGAUCGCAAGACCUCGCGCGAUUGGAGCGGCAGAUGGCAGAUUAGGUGGUUGGUAGGGUAAAGGCCUACCAAGCCGACGAUCUGCAGCUGGUCUGAGAGGAUGAUCAGCCACACUGGGACUGGGGCACGGCCCAGACUCCGACGGGAGGCAGCAGGGGGAAUUUUGGACUAUGGACGCAAGUCUGAUCCAGCCAUUCCGCGUGCAGGAUGAAGGCCCUCGGGUUGUAAACUGCUUUUGUACAGAACGAAAAGGCUCUGGUUAAUACCUGGGGCUCAUGACGGUACUGUAAGAAUAAGCACCGGCUAACUACGUGCCAGCCGCCGCAGUAA
RNAcentral lists this ribosomal RNA (499 nucleotides) under uncultured bacterium. Its description in RNAcentral is "partial 16S ribosomal RNA". It matches the Rfam family "Bacterial small subunit ribosomal RNA", at positions 30 to 523 of the family's 1533-position model. The record is from RNAcentral.